GAUGAACGCUGGCGGCGUGCUUAACACAUGCAAGUCGAACGGAAAGGCCCUGCUUUUGUGCGGUGCUCGAGUGGCGAACGGGUGAGUAACACGUGAGUAACCUGCCCUUGACUUUGGGAUAACUUCAGGAAACUGGGGCUAAUACCGGAUAGGAGAUCCUGCUCCAUGGUGGGGGUUGGAAAGUUUCGGCGGUUGGGGAUGGACUCGCGGCUUAUCAGCUUGUUGGUGGGGUAGUGGCUUACCAAGGCUUUGACUGGUAGCCGGCCUGAGAGGGUGAACGGGCACAAUGCUACUGAGAGACGGCCCAGACGCCAACGGGAGGCAACAGGGGGGAGUAUGACACAAUGGGCGCGAGCCUGAGACAGCAACGCCGCGUGCGUAAUGACGGCCUUCGGGUUGUGAACCGCUUUCGCCUGUGACGAAGCGUGAGUGACGGUAAUGGGUAAAGAAGCACCGGCUAACUACGUG
Molecule: ribosomal RNA, 468 nt
Filed under: uncultured bacterium
Lineage: Bacteria
Description: partial 16S ribosomal RNA
Rfam family: Bacterial small subunit ribosomal RNA
Source: RNAcentral